RNAcentral lists this ribosomal RNA (253 nucleotides) under uncultured bacterium. RNAcentral describes it as "partial 16S ribosomal RNA". It matches the Rfam family "Bacterial small subunit ribosomal RNA", at positions 524 to 776 of the family's 1533-position model. The record is from RNAcentral.
UACAGAGGGUGCGAGCGUUGUUCGGAAUUAUUGGGCGUAAAGCGCUGGUAGGUGGCUUGUUAAGUCGCGUGUGAAAGCUCCAGGCUCAACCUGGAAAGUGCGCGCGAAACUGGCGAGCUUGAGUGUCGGAGAGGAUCGCGGAAUUCCGGGUGUAGAGGUGAAAUUCGUAGAUAUCCGGAGGAACACCGGAGGCGAAGGCGGCGAUCUGGAAGACCGCUGACACUGAGCAGCGAAAGCGUGGGGAGCAAACAGG